UACGGAGGGUGCAAGCAUUAGUCGGAUUUAUUGGGCGUAAAGGGCGCGUAGGCGGGGAUAAUAGUCAGAUGUGAAAUCCCGGGGCUCAACCUCGGAACUGCAUUUGAAACUGUAUCUCUAGAGGGUAGGCGGAGAAAACGGAAUUCCACAAGUAGCGGUGAAAUGCGUAGAUAUGUGGAAGAACACCGGUGGCGAAGGCGGUUUUCUAGCUUACACCUGACGCUGAGGCGCGAAAGCAAGGGGAUCAAACAGG
RNAcentral lists this ribosomal RNA (253 nucleotides) under uncultured bacterium. RNAcentral's name for it is "partial 16S ribosomal RNA". It matches the Rfam family "Bacterial small subunit ribosomal RNA", at positions 524 to 776 of the family's 1533-position model. The record is from RNAcentral.